This 468-nucleotide ribosomal RNA is filed under the name uncultured bacterium. RNAcentral's name for it is "partial 16S ribosomal RNA". It matches the Rfam family "Bacterial small subunit ribosomal RNA", at positions 28 to 507 of the family's 1533-position model. The record is from RNAcentral.
GACGAACGCUGGCGGCGUGCUUAACACAUGCAAGUCGAACGGAAAGGCCCUGCUUUUGUGGGUUGCUCGAGUGGCGAACGGGUGAGUAACACGUGAGUAACCUGCCCUUGACUUUGGGAUAACUUCAGGAAACUGGGGCUAAUACCGGAUAGGAGCUCCUGCUGCAUGGUGGGGGUUGGAAAGUUUCGGCGGUUGGGGAUGGACUCGCGGCUUAUCAGCUUGUUGGUGGGGUAGUGGCUUACCAAGGCUUUGACGGGUAGCCGGCCUGAGAGGGUGACCGGCCACAUGGGGACUGAGAUACGGCCCAGACUCCUACGGGAGGCAGCAGGGGGGAAUAUUGCACAAUGGGCGGAAGCCUGAUGCAGCAACGCCGCGUGCGGGAUGACGGCCUUCGGGUUGUAAACCGCUUUCGCCGGUGACGAAGCGUGAGUGACGGUAAUGGGUAAAGAAGCACCGGCUAACUACGUG